AUACGUAGGUGACAAGCGUUAUCCGGAUUCAUUGGGUUUAAAGGGUGCGCAGGCGGCCGUGCAAGUCAGCGGUGAAAGCCCGGGGCUCAACCCCGGAAGUGCCGUUGAUACUGCAUGGCUGGAAUGCGGUCGAGGCGGGCGGAACGUGGCGUGUAGCGGGGAAAUGCGUAGAUAUGCCACAGAACGCCGAUAGCGGAGGGAGCUCGCCAGGCCUGCAUUGACGCUCGGGCACGAAAGCGUGGGGAUCGAACAGGAUUAGAUACCCUGGUAGUCCACGCCGUAAACGAUGGGCGCUCGUCGUCGGCGACAGACAGUCGGCGGCCAAGCGAAAGCGAUAAGCGCCCCACCUGGGGAGUACGGUCGCAAGGCUGAAACUCAAAUGAAUUGACGGGG
This 393-nucleotide ribosomal RNA is filed under the name uncultured bacterium. RNAcentral's name for it is "partial 16S ribosomal RNA". It matches the Rfam family "Bacterial small subunit ribosomal RNA", at positions 523 to 918 of the family's 1533-position model. The record is from RNAcentral.